RNAcentral lists this ribosomal RNA (254 nucleotides) under uncultured bacterium. RNAcentral describes it as "partial 16S ribosomal RNA". It matches the Rfam family "Bacterial small subunit ribosomal RNA", at positions 524 to 776 of the family's 1533-position model. The record is from RNAcentral.
UACGUAGGGUGCGAGCGUUGUCCGGAAUUAUUGGGCGUAAAGAGCUCGUAGGCGGUGUGUCACGUCGGCCGUGAAAACCUGCAGCUUAACUGUGGGCGUGCGGUCGAUACGGGCAUCACUGGAGUUCGGCAGGGGAGACUGGAAUUCCUGGUGUAGCGGUGAAAUGCGCAGAUAUCAGGAGGAACACCGAUGGCGAAGGCAGCUCGCUGGGACGGUACUGACGCUGAGGCGCGAAAGCGUGGGGAGCAAACAGG